Molecule: long non-coding RNA, 1671 nt
Organism: Triticum aestivum (bread wheat)
Lineage: Eukaryota; Viridiplantae; Streptophyta; Magnoliopsida; Poales; Poaceae
Exons: 3
Source: RefSeq, a predicted model, not a curated record
CAUGGUCAGCUUUCUCUCUCACUCAAAACAAAAGAAACCAGUUUCUUCAUAGCUGCAGCAGAGUCCGGCGACUGGUAGGUGAUCUCCGCGUGAAGUGCACUCCUUGGAUCUAUUGCCGGCCACUGAGAUCGGCAAGGAAGGCACAGCUGAAUCGACGUGUACACGCAGUUCCUCUGCUCCUGAGCUCCUCCGACACACCUGACAGUUUAUCUCACCUGCAUCUCUCUAUGGGAGUUGGGACACGGACCGGGUCGCCUUUCCAUUCCUAGCCACCCGGACUCCCAGAUUGUUGUUGAAUGGAUUAGUGAUGCCUCUUUUUUUGGCACAGGGUGGGAUUUAUUUUGGUGACAGACUAAAUUUUGUUCAUCCCUAAUUAAACCUUUCACUUAACUAUGUCUAUUGCAGGUUAUAUUGUGUUAUUAUACUCACUGAGGUGCAGCCCUUUUCCUCUGAUUUUGUAACUAUACUGUUCGCGACAUCUAUUAGCAUAAAAGUUGCAGUUUGCUCCAUCCAACAUGUUACUGUCAAGCUGCUUUUCCAAAUGGGUCAUUAUAUAACAAAGCAUCGAUUUAUAUGUAUUUGCAGAGUCUAUGAUAGAUAUAGAAGCAUCAAAUUUCAAUAUAUGUCCAUCUUGAAUAUAUUGAAAUUUUGCCUAUUGUUUUUCUUUUCCUAUUAACUCAUUCAUCAAAUGAUUCACUGAGGUGGCCAAAUACAUUACUUUUGUGCAAUACAUAUACAUGCUUCUUUUUUCUCAGUUAAUAGUUUUGUACUACUUGAUCCUGAUUUUUCAUUUGUUGACACAUUUUUUCUUGCCUGCUACAUCUUUCCCAUUUAGAGAAGGCAUGGUAAAUUAUUAUUGCACCCUCACAUAACCGAGGUGAGACUUCUGGAGAAGGCAUGGUAAAUUAUUAUUGCACCCUUACAUAACUGAGGUGAGACUUCUUUUUCAUUUAUUGGAGAAACCCGAUGCUUUAGGAUACACCGUGCUUCACAAUAGAAACAUGCUUAAGUUAUUUUGCUGUACAAUAUUGUUUUUAUUUUUUUAGGAAUCGUUUCACUCAGUUUGCUAUGGUAUUUCCAUAUAAUAUAUAGGAAUACUAUUAUUAAGUCCAUUCCACAUGUUUCUUUCAGGAUAUGUAAUUGCGAACAUAAAGAUGCUCAUUUUAUGGUUAAUACGCUUCCAUGCAAUUGUAGUUGUUAGUUGUAUCGAUUCUAAGUUUCUAAAUGAACUUUUGGUUCUUUUGUAGUUAACAAAAAACUUCCACAUUGAUGAGAUUGAUUCUUAAUAUGAAGUGCUAGGGAUCAGCAGAAAAUGUAACAGUGAGCCACAUCCUAUAAGUAUUCAAACCACUUUUUCAUCAGCAUGAGUAAAAAGGACCGGAGGGAGUACUAUGUCCGUUUUGAGGACCGGCGUUCGAAUGCAUAACACCCUAUCUUCAGUUUUGCUAGCUGUAAGAGAAGGAGUGUGCGCCAAGAUGGGGAUAGGGAAGUGUUCGGCAAUUCAGAAAAAAAGAUGGAAAUAGGAAAAUGUUCAGUAGAUCAUACCAAGGGCUCAUUCUUUUCAGCUCCAGAUUCUCCAGAAUUUUAUUCUGAGAAACUGCCCACAGAAACAGUUGCGUACAGAUUCAGUUGUCCAGUUCUUUUCAGCUAUUGCAGUCCGAGAUUGUUGUA